This 274-nucleotide ribosomal RNA is filed under the name uncultured bacterium. Its description in RNAcentral is "partial 16S ribosomal RNA". It matches the Rfam family "Bacterial small subunit ribosomal RNA", at positions 523 to 796 of the family's 1533-position model. The record is from RNAcentral.
AUACGGAGGGACCAAGCGUUGUUCGGAAUUAUUGGGCGUAAAGCGGGUGUAGGCGGCCAAGUAAGUCGGAUGUGAAAGCCCUGGGCUCAACCCAGGAACUGCAUUCGAAACUGCUUGACUAGAGUCUCGGAGAGGGUGGCGGAAUUCCCGGUGUAGCGGUGGAAUGCGUAGAUAUCGGGAGGAACACCAGUGGCGAAGGCGGCGCCCUGGCCCUGGCCUGACGCUGAGGUGCGAAAGCGUGGGGAGCGAACGGGAUUAGAAACCCCAGUAGUCC